RNAcentral lists this ribosomal RNA (688 nucleotides) under Escherichia coli. RNAcentral describes it as "bacterial LSU rRNA". It matches the Rfam family "Bacterial large subunit ribosomal RNA", at positions 2260 to 2925 of the family's 2925-position model. Lineage: Bacteria; Pseudomonadati; Pseudomonadota; Gammaproteobacteria; Enterobacterales; Enterobacteriaceae. The record is from RNAcentral.
GGUGGGUAGUUUGACUGGGGCGGUCUCCUCCUAAAGAGUAACGGAGGAGCACGAAGGUUGGCUAAUCCUGGUCGGACAUCAGGAGGUUAGUGCAAUGGCAUAAGCCAGCUUGACUGCGAGCGUGACGGCGCGAGCAGGUGCGAAAGCAGGUCAUAGUGAUCCGGUGGUUCUGAAUGGAAGGGCCAUCGCUCAACGGAUAAAAGGUACUCCGGGGAUAACAGGCUGAUACCGCCCAAGAGUUCAUAUCGACGGCGGUGUUUGGCACCUCGAUGUCGGCUCAUCACAUCCUGGGGCUGAAGUAGGUCCCAAGGGUAUGGCUGUUCGCCAUUUAAAGUGGUACGCGAGCUGGGUUUAGAACGUCGUGAGACAGUUCGGUCCCUAUCUGCCGUGGGCGCUGGAGAACUGAGGGGGGCUGCUCCUAGUACGAGAGGACCGGAGUGGACGCAUCACUGGUGUUCGGGUUGUCAUGCCAAUGGCACUGCCCGGUAGCUAAAUACGGAAGAGAUAAGUGCUGAAAGCAUCUAAGCACGAAACUUGCCCCGAGAUGAGUUCUCCCUGACUCCCUGAGAGUCCUGAAGGAACGUUGAAGACGACGACGUUGAUAGGCCGGGUGUGUAAGCGCAGCGAUGCGUUGAGCUAACCGGUACUAAUGAACCGUGAGGCUUAACCUUACAACGCCGAAGCUGUU